Molecule: non-coding RNA, 113 nt
Organism: Acanthosepion pharaonis
Lineage: Eukaryota; Metazoa; Mollusca; Cephalopoda; Sepiida; Sepiidae
Source: the annotation of a GenBank genome assembly
UACGGCCAUAUCACUUUGAAACACCGAUUCCCGUAUGAUCAUCGUAGUUAUGCAUUGUUGAAUCUGUUCAGUACGUAGAUGGGUGACUGCUUGUGAUUAUCAGGUGCUGUAAA